GAGUACCUUUACACCACAACAUUCAAUAAACACACUUGAAAGCAAAAAGAAAAAUUCCACUCGAAAUAAACAAAUGCAAGUCGAUCAUUAAAAAGCAGGAGUCGAUUUACUCCCUUCUCAUCCCCAUUCUCGGCCUCCCCUCUCUCUCUCUCUAUACUCUCUUUUCCUCCAUUGAUGUCCAUUGAAGAAAGCUUAGAGAAGCUUCAUCAAACACUACUAUGAGAUAAUCCACCAUCCAAUCCAAUCAAAUACUAUCAUAUCUCAUCAAAUUCAAGAAGCUAGAGCUAAGAUCAAAGUUGGAGCAAAGUCUUGAUCACCUUUUAAAUCCUUGAGCUUUGUGACCAGGGGAAUUAGCGCUGCUUUCCCAAGACAGGUUUAUAUGUGAUUAUGAUCUUCAGGCUUUGCCUAACCAGGUUGGCUGGCUGGUGCUGACGGGACGGAGCUGAGGCUAGAGUUAAAAUUUCUAUGUUAGACUUCCGCUGUAGCAAUUACUCAUAUCAGUCUUUUGUUUUUACAACUUAAGAUCUUCAUGUUAAAUUUCAAAUGAUAUACAUGACCGAGCUUAGACUCUUCACUACUAAAUUUAUGCUAAUGAAUGUCGGUUGUCAGAAGCAUGAAACAAAA
This is a long non-coding RNA of Salvia miltiorrhiza (redroot sage), 624 nucleotides long. RefSeq lists it as uncharacterized. The record is from RefSeq and is a predicted model, not a curated record. NCBI's taxonomy places the organism in Eukaryota, Viridiplantae, Streptophyta, Magnoliopsida, Lamiales, Lamiaceae. The transcript has 3 exons.